CCUACGGGGGGCAGCAGUGAGGAAUAUUGGUCAAUGGGCGCGAGCCUGAACCAGCCAAGCCGCGUGAAGGAUGACUGCCCUACGGAUUGUAAACCUCUUUUAUAAGGGAAUAAAGUGAGGCACGUGUGCCUUUAUGUAUGUACUUUAUGAAUAAGGAUCGGCUAACUCCGUGCCAGCAGCCGCGGUAAUACGGAGGAUCCGAGCGUUAUCCGGAUUUAUUGGGUUUAAAGGGAGCGUAGAUGGGUUGUUAAGUCAGUUGUGAAAGUUUGGGGCUCAACCGUAAAACUGCAAUUGAUACUGGCAGCCUUGAGUACAGUGGAGGUAGGCGGAAUUCGUGGUGUAGCGGUGAAAUGCUUAGAUAUCACGAAGAACUCCGAUUGCGAAGGCAGCUUACUAAACUGCCACUGACAUUGAGGCACGAAAGUGUGGGUAUCAAACAGGAUUAGAUACCCGGGUAGUC
This 460-nucleotide ribosomal RNA is filed under the name uncultured bacterium. RNAcentral describes it as "partial 16S ribosomal RNA". It matches the Rfam family "Bacterial small subunit ribosomal RNA", at positions 338 to 795 of the family's 1533-position model. The record is from RNAcentral.